AAUAAUUAUGAAAUUUAAAAUAUAAAAUUUAAAAUUUGAAUAUUUAAAAUUUUUCUUUUAAAAUUUUAAAAAUUUAAAAUUUAUAAUUUGUAGAUUAAAACUUGUAAUUUAAAAUUUAAAUUUUUAAAUUUUUAAAUUUUUAAAUUUUAAAUUAAAAUCUAAAAUUUCAAAUUUUAAAUUUUAUCUUAAAUUUGAAAUUUGAAAUUUGAAAUUUAAAAAUUUAAAAUCUAAAAUUUGAUAUUUGAAAAUUAAAAUUAAAAUUAAAAUUUUAAAGUUUGAAAUUUAUUUUUCAAAAUUUAAAAUUAAAAAAUUAAAAAAUAAAUCUAAAAAUUAAAAUUUUAAAUUAAAUUUAAAUAUAAAUAUUGAAUUUAAAAUAAAAAUAGAANAAAUUUAAAGUUUGAGUUCAAAAUCAGAAUCAGAUUUCAAGAAGCAGUUUUUUUUCUGCUUCUGAUUCUGGAGCUUUCAAAAUCAGUUUUCUAAUUCUGAGAAGUAAAAUCAGAUUUUAAAAAUGAGAUUACCAACCGCUCUAUUAAACUGAAAAUUAUUUUUUAACUAAAAAGUGUUUUUUAAAAGAUAGGCCGAACACC
RNAcentral lists this long non-coding RNA (587 nucleotides) under Ananas comosus (pineapple). RNAcentral describes it as "long non-coding RNA (ACOM_LNC008170)". The record is from RNAcentral. Lineage: Eukaryota; Viridiplantae; Streptophyta; Magnoliopsida; Poales; Bromeliaceae.